Molecule: long non-coding RNA, 1503 nt
Filed under: Equus caballus (horse)
Lineage: Eukaryota; Metazoa; Chordata; Mammalia; Perissodactyla; Equidae
Description: lncRNA (ENSECAG00000048455.1)
Source: RNAcentral
AAGCGGAGGGGAGCGUGGGGUUGGGUUUCCCCGGGGCCUGGGCCACUCCUUUGGGAAGAGCUGUGGGUAGGGGCAGUCCCGAGGAUUCUCAUCUUCCUUCUACUCCUAGCCCUCCCUUAAGGAGCCACAUCUUCUUCCUGUGUUGUCCAGGAUGUCAGUCUGGUGGGAGGGCUUCCAUGGGUGUCCUCUGAGGCUUUGCAGGUGGAGGUAGGAAGUCAACAGGGAGCCUGUUGUCUUCUUCCAGGAUCCGAGCAGUAAGAAAACGUGCUGAGGCUUAUAAGGGGAGGUGGAUUCUGUGGCUGAAGCAGGGAGUUUGAGGAGUGAUCUAGAGGGUUCUGCUGUCACUGGGGCUGGUCUGAGCUUUGGGGGGAAUGUCACCCUGGGAUGGGGAGGGAGAGACCCCAGGUCUGAUGGCUCUUCCUCCAGAGAGGCAGGUAUAAAUAAGGCUGAUGCCUUAGGCUGUGUGUCACCUCAGAGAACCUUCAAAGUGGCCAUGGUCCCACCAAGAGGGGGAUGGGAUAUGCUAGGAGGGCUAGGUGCUGGACAUCCACGUGCCAGCAGGUUGGUGCGCAUCUGGACAGCUGCAUGUGGCCUGACCUUGGGCAUGUCCUGUUGCAUCCCCAGGCCAUAGUUUCUACGGUUGGAUAACGGGGUUCACUGUUUGCUACCUCAGGCUCUACUCUCUGGGAACCCACCCUUGUCCCUCCCCUGGGGCAGUGGUGACCUUGGUGCUUCCAGCAGACUCACUGUCAUCCUCUGUAGACUGAGCUGUCCAGACGUGAAGACGAGCGUGGUGCGUGGCACCCCGCUCCCCACAGCCUGGCCACCCCCGGGGGCUCCAAACACGAAGACAGGGUCUCUCUCUACAGGUGCCUGGGGGACAGGUUUCAGGAGGCACCAAGAACCAGUGACGUGACCCAGGGGCCCCUGGCAGCCACCAGCAGGAGCUGCUGGAGACCUGUCCAUCUCGGAGCCAUGUAAGGGAAGUAGAAACCAGGCGUCUCCUCCAGCUCCAGGGGGGCGGAUGUGAGAGAUUCUUGGCUAAGCAGGGUAUUUCUUGGGGGUGCAGCUGGCCCAGUGUGUAUAUGGGAGCUUCUGUUUCAGAGUGUCAUACUGUGGCCUGGACUUCAGUGAGGUGACAGCAGACCAAGUAUCUUCCUCGGAAAGGGGUUCAGUCCUUUAUUUAGUUUCCCCUUACAGAGAGAAUCCACAAACUAGCCAGCCAGCCAGCCAGCCAGCCAGCCAGGCAGCCUCUGGGCUGGUGCUCUUGCCCCGGUCUGGCCCUGGGCCAAGCCCUUGAACAGAGCUCCCGCAGCAGGGCAGAGGGCGUGCGGGUCUCGGAGGAAUCCGCCUUCCUGCAUGAGUGAACACUGUGGGAAUCAGCAUCCAAAGGGACCAGGGUGUCAGGGCAGAUGUGGCCCGGCGGGCCGACGACGGCACUGCGCCCUGUGCUUGGUGCCCCCAUCCUUGGCAAGGAGAGGGUGGUACGGGGGCUGUGCAGAG